AGGAAUGUAACAAAUACUAUUGAUAAUUAUUCUUCUUCAAUAUUCUUAAGACCUGCUGAUGCCAAAGAAGUUUUUAAAAUCAUAAUGUCACUUAAAAAUAGUAGGAGCUCUGGGUAUGAUGAUAUUACAACAUAUAUUCUUAAGUUGAUUGCCCCAUGGAUAUGUCAGCCUAUAACUCAUAUUAUAAACCUUUCGUUUGAUCAAGCGGUUUUUCCCGAGCAGUUGAAGCUGUCCGUGGUGAAGCCCUUAUUUAAAAAAGGAGACCGUAAGGAUCCCAAUAACUAUAGGCCCAUAACAAUUGUUCCAGUUAUUUCCAAAAUAAUUGAGAAAGCAAUGUGUGAAAGGUUAACGGGAUUUUUAGAAAAAAACGGUCUAUUGCAGGCAGAACAGUAUGGCUAUAGAAGAGGACAUUCAACUGAAUUGGCUUGCUUUGAUUUAGUUAAAUAUGUAUCUGAAAGCCUGAACAGCAAAAUACCAAUAUUGUCAAUAUUUUUAGACUUAAGUAAGGCCUUGAAUGCUAUGGGAUUAGAGGAGUUGCACUUGAUUGGAUAAAAAGCUACUUGUCACAAAGAAAACAAUGUACUGAAGUAGUAAAAACAGAAAAAGUAGGUAAGAGUUUUGUUAAAGCCAAAUAUCGUUCAGAUUUUCGUGAGGUACAACUAGGUGUUCCUCAAGGGAGCAACUUAGGUCCCCUAUUGUUUUUAGUAUACAUCAAUGAUCUACCACGGGCAAUCUCGCAUAAGUGUAUACUAUUUGCAGAUGACACAACUUUAUUAAUAAGGGGUGAGAAAGUUGAUACAUACGAGACUAUCGUAAAUAAUGCAUUGGUUGACAUUAACAAUUGGACAUGUAAAAAUAAUUUAAAUAUCAA
Molecule: long non-coding RNA, 871 nt
Organism: Cydia strobilella
Lineage: Eukaryota; Metazoa; Arthropoda; Insecta; Lepidoptera; Tortricidae
Exons: 2
Source: RefSeq, a predicted model, not a curated record